UAAAGUUUGAUUCUGGCUUUAAAGGUUGCUUUUUCUAAAAAUUGUAUGCUUUAUUUUAUUUAAUAAAAUUUGGUGCAGUAAUUAAUAUUAAUUUUUACUUAAGUAGAUUUAGUUAUAGAAUAAAUAGAGGGUUAAUAUUGUGCCAGCAUCCGCGGUCAUACAAUAUUCUAAAGUUACUUAUUUCAGUGAAGUUCUUUUUCUUUGUGAAUUAUGUUUAACAUAACAAAGGUGAAAUUUGUAUUUUUAUGUAGAUUUUUUUUAAGACUAGAUUAGAGUAUUUAAAAAACUGGGAUUAGAUACCCCACUAUUUUACUUUAUUUUUCUUGGGUAGUAAAAUUAAAACCUAAAGAAUUUGGCGGUUCUUAAACUUACUAGAGGAACCUGUCCUGUAAUCGAUAGUCCACGAUUCUAUUAACCUACUUUUGUUUCAGCUUAUAUACCGCCGUUUAGUGAACUAAAUCAAUAGAUUCUCUCAAUUAAUUAGUUAAAUAAAUCAGGUCAAGGUGUAGCUUAUGAGUAGGAAGAGAUGGGUUACAAUGAAAAUUCACACGGAUAGAUUUUCUUAGGUUAAUCUUAAAGGCGGAUUUAGAAGUAAAUUUUAAUUAUUUGAAGAAAGCUCUUGAGAAUGUACACAUCGCCCGUCGCUCUCUUGUCUGAAGAGAUAAGUCGUAACAAAGUAGAUUAAUCGGAAGGUUAAUCUUGAAAG
This 706-nucleotide non-coding RNA is filed under the name Branchinella kugenumaensis. Its description in RNAcentral is "12S ribosomal RNA". The stretch from base 326 to 701 matches the Rfam family "Microsporidia small subunit ribosomal RNA", at positions 752 to 1304 of the family's 1311-position model. Lineage: Eukaryota; Metazoa; Arthropoda; Branchiopoda; Anostraca; Thamnocephalidae. The record is from RNAcentral.